Molecule: long non-coding RNA, 2029 nt
Organism: Heterocephalus glaber (naked mole-rat)
Lineage: Eukaryota; Metazoa; Chordata; Mammalia; Rodentia; Bathyergidae
Source: Ensembl
GUCUGAGUUGAUUUUGCAUGUGAUGUCUGGGGAGUGAAGCUCUGGAAAACAAAAUAUCAAGGACAGUUUCCCAGGCUGAGAGGUGAAGGCUGCCUCCCUCCCUCCUAACAAGACCAGGCAGCCGCAGGGUGGGAAGGACUCCAGGAGCGAGUCUGUGCCUGUCUGGGGGAGGACACAGCCCAUGUCUGCUCACCACUUGUCCUGUGCCUCCUUAGGGAAGGCUCUGCCCAGCAGGGCCUGGGACAUCAUCACAUUCGGUGGGUCUUUGUUGGGUGGAUGGAUGGAUUGACAAACAGAUGGACAAAUGGACGGAUGGAUACGUAAACACCAACUGAUGACUGCAUGGCUAGGUGGAUGGAUGGACACCUAUAUGCAGGGAUAAAUAAAUGGAUAGCUGGAUGAAGAGACAGUGCGGAGACAGGUGACAAGAGGGCACAGGACCGCUGUGCACACAGGUUCAAGCAAGCUCAGGUCCCGAGUUUCAAUGCUGCGGACACUGAUGUUUGACAUCACAGACGAUGUAAGAUGUGACCAUGGUGGCACUCAGCGAAGGGUGCACAGAAUCAUGCUGCUCGGCACUGUUUCCUGUCAAUCUACAGCGAUUUUAAAGUUGUCCUUUUUAGGAAAUGAUGAGCGAGCCAGGUGUGAUGUUGGUGAUUGGCACUGAAAUACUGGACCGGAAAGGACCAAGGCAGAAGAGGACGAUAAAGCAAUAAAUCGAGGAUGAGGAAAUGCAACCACCACCACCCGAGCAGAGGGGUGGGGACUCGGGAGUCAUCGGCCAAUCCUCUAUUGGGCAUUUUUGAAAUUUUUCCCUGGAUAAAGAUGCAAAGCUUUCAAAGCUGAAGCAAAUGAGCAAGGUCACGGUCACGUCCACCGGAGUCACGUCCACCGGAUGCUGGCAUAGACCCAGGGCACUGACUCACGCGCUGCGCAGAGUCCAGUGGCCACAGUGUGCGUGUGUGUAAGGAGAAAUCCCAUUUAUGCAGCUGAGACUGCUCUCAUGUCUGUCAGGCUAUCAGCAGAGUGGGGCGCAUGGGGUCCAGGGCUACUUGAACUGCCUGGAAACUGGAGGGUCCUUGGGAGAGGUGGGGUCCACCGCACAGUUUCUGGGGGCUGGGGAAGGAACUGGCUUCUAGGUGUGGAAAGGCGUGGCUGAUUUGUCCUAUCUGAGCCCCUCCAUGGCAUGAUCAGGAUUUGAAACUGAUGUCUUGACCUUGGAAAAGGUCAGAAAAUUGCACAGGGCUUCACUGUUCUCCACUAGAGAUCGGGUCCCAUGACAGCAGGAAACUCCCAGGGCUGUCCCCAGCACCCACUCGGUGCCAGGCCUACUGCAUGAAGGGCUCUGUGCAUAUUAAAUCCUUCAAAGCACAGCACUGUGACCACCUCUGUUGCCAGAGGAGAAAUGAAGGCACAGAGAAGUUAGGAUAGUUGCCCAAGCUCACACAGAUAUCAAAUUGAGGAACUGCUAUUCAAACUAUGUAAAAGGUAGAACACAGAGUUCCAAGUUCUUCAGUGUGAUUACUAUUAAUAUUUUUUUUUUUUUUUUGGUACCGGGGAUUGAACUCAGGACCCAGGCGGCAGCACCACUGAGCUAAAUCCCCAGCCCUUAUUAUUUAAAAAUAUAAAGCAGAUCUGUAACUUGGGCACUUUCUGGAAAGGAAAUGUAGGGUAGAAAAAGUCCAUCCCCUUCUGAAGACUUGCUGUCAGUUUAGCCCUGGUUGAGAACUGGGAGCCAGAGGAGUCCUGGUAGUCCAACCCCCUGCCUGAUCCCCAGCCUAGGCCAAGGACAACUGCUCCCCCAUAAAGGGCCAGCCAGGGCAAGCUGGGUGUGGGGAGCAGGGGCCUCACCUAGGAGCCAAGUCUGCACCCCCCAGUUUGAUAGGCCCCAGCGCCUGACCUUAGCACUACAGGCCCUGAGGAGCCUGCCAGGGGACAGCAGUGGGGACACUGGGUGAAGGGACCUCCCACAGUCGCCAACCUCAGAAGCAGUGCUGCUCUCCUCACCCUGUGAUGGGGCCUCAGUUUC